AAAAAAUGCAUGAAAUCAGGUGAUCCAGUGGGCAUAUAUUGUGAAAACUGCACACAGUAGCAUAUGUAGAACUGGACUGACGUUCAGGAGUGAAAAACUGGGGCAUCGCAACAACAAGUACAUGCUAGCUCGUAUUUUCCUGUAUUUUUAAACAAAACCCCAGACAUCUUGAACAGAUAGGUGAGGCUGACCAAGGAAGGUUUUCUGUACGUUAUAAUUACUGGUACAAUAAUAUGCACUACCUGCAGGUAACCUGUAGUAACAUGUUACAAAUUGUUAUAUAUCAUGACACUUCAGCGACUACUCUGGCAUGAUCUAACUUAGUAUCUGAUAUCUUUGCUUGGAUCCAAUAUUGUAGUAUCUCAUUGCAUGUGUGUGACUGUGUGUGUGUGUGCACAUGUGCUAUCUUACACUGAAGGCCUGAACCGAGUGAGGUUAAUACCAAUAAGCCUAUAGUUCCAUAGCUAUGGAUGGAAACAUCAAAGGUUGGCUCUGCAGGCUUAAGAGGCUGCUUGUUUUCUUACUCUAGAUGUUAAUAUACACAUCAAACUAAUCUCAAUGAAAACCAACCCCAAAAAAUGCAUGAAAUCAGAUGAUCCAGUGGGUAUAUAUUGUGAAAGCUGCACACAGUAGCAUAUGUAGAACUAGACUGUUUGGAAUGUGAAGAAUUGGGGCAUCGCAACAACAAGCUUGUAUUUUCCUGGUUUUUUUUACAAAAUCUCAGACAUUUUUAACAGAUAUGUGAGGCAGCCCAAGGAAGGAGACAACAACAUCUCUGGUUCUGUGAGAGAGAUGAAGUUUUCCUCUACACUGAAAUCAGGUGCUUGGUAUGAUGGUAUCUUAGACCAUCUUACACUGAAGGCACUGAAGGCCUGAACCGGGUGAGGUUAGCUAUGGAUGGAAACAUCAAAGGUUGGCUCUGCAGGCUUAAGAGGCUGCUUGCUCUCUUACUCUUAGAUGUUAAUAUACACAUCAAACUAAUCUCAAUGAAAAACAACCCCAAAAAAUGCAUGAAAUCAGGUGAUCCAGUGGGCAUAUAUUGUGAAAACUGCACACAGUAGCAUAUGUAGAACUGGACUGACGUUCAGGAGUGAAAAACUGGGGCAUCGCAACAACAAGUACAUGCUAGCUCGUAUUUUCCUGUAUUUUUAAACAAAACCCCAGACAUCUUGAACAGAUAGGUGAGGCUGACCAAGGAAGGUUUUCUGUACGUUAUAAUUACUGGUACAAUAAUAUGCACUACCUGCAGGUAACCUGUAGUAACAUGUUACAAAUUGUUAUAUAUCAUGACACUUCAGCGACUACUCUGGCAUGAUCUAACUUAGUAUCUGAUAUCUUUGCUUGGAUCCAAUAUUGUAGUAUCUCAUUGCAUGUGUGUGACUGUGUGUGUGUGUGCACAUGUGCUAUCUUACACUGAAGGCCUGAACCGAGUGAGGUUAAUACCAAUAAGCCUAUAGUUCCAUAGCUAUGGAUGGAAACAUCAAAGGUUGGCUCUGCAGGCUUAAGAGGCUGCUUGUUUUCUUACUCUAGAUGUUAAUAUACACAUCAAACUAAUCUCAAUGAAAACCAACCCCAAAAAAUGCAUGAAAUCAGAUGAUCCAGUGGGUAUAUAUUGUGAAAGCUGCACACAGUAGCAUAUGUAGAACUAGACUGUUUGGAAUGUGAAGAAUUGGGGCAUCGCAACAACAAGCUUGUAUUUUCCUGGUUUUUUUUACAAAAUCUCAGACAUUUUUAACAGAUAUGUGAGGCAGCCCAAGGAAGGAGACAACAACAUCUCUGGUUCUGUGAGAGAGAUGAAGUUUUCCUCUACACUGAAAUCAGGUGCUUGGUAUGAUGGUAUCUUAGACCAUCUUACACUGAAGGCACUGAAGGCCUGAACCGGGUGAGGUUAGCUAUGGAUGGAAACAUCAAAGGUUGGCUCUGCAGGCUUAAGAGGCUGCUUGCUCUCUUACUCUUAGAUGUUAAUAUACACAUCAAACUAAUCUCAAUGAAAAACAACCCCAAAAAAUGCAUGAAAUCAGGUGAUCCAGUGGGCAUAUAUUGUGAAAACUGCACACAGUAGCAUAUGUAGAACUGGACUGACGUUCAGGAGUGAAAAACUGGGGCAUCGCAACAACAAGUACAUGCUAGCUCGUAUUUUCCUGUAUUUUUAAACAAAACCCCAGACAUCUUGAACAGAUAGGUGAGGCUGACCAAGGAAGGUUUUCUGUACGUUAUAAUUACUGGUACAAUAAUAUGCACUACCUGCAGGUAACCUGUAGUAACAUGUUACAAAUUGUUAUAUAUCAUGACACUUCAGCGACUACUCUGGCAUGAUCUAACUUAGUAUCUGAUAUCUUUGCUUGGAUCCAAUAUUGUAGUAUCUCAUUGCAUGUGUGUGACUGUGUGUGUGUGUGCACAUGUGCUAUCUUACACUGAAGGCCUGAACCGAGUGAGGUUAAUACCAAUAAGCCUAUAGUUCCAUAGCUAUGGAUGGAAACAUCAAAGGUUGGCUCUGCAGGCUUAAGAGGCUGCUUGUUUUCUUACUCUAGAUGUUAAUAUACACAUCAAACUAAUCUCAAUGAAAACCAACCCCAAAAAAUGCAUGAAAUCAGAUGAUCCAGUGGGUAUAUAUUGUGAAAGCUGCACACAGUAGCAUAUGUAGAACUAGACUGUUUGGAAUGUGAAGAAUUGGGGCAUCGCAACAACAAGCUUGUAUUUUCCUGGUUUUUUUUUACAAAAUCUCAGACAUUUUUAACAGAUAUGUGAGGCAGCCCAAGGAAGGAGACAACAACAUCUCUGGUUCUGUGAGAGAGGUAGGUUGGCCGGCAUUUGUUUAUUGGUGGGGUUGCAUUGGUAGAAGACGAGCAUUGAAUUGCAUUGACUUCCUUAGCUGUUGGUCAUUUGACAGAAUCUUGUUCAUAGAUGAUAACAACAAAAAUAACGGUACGUUAUCUUGACAGACAGAAUUGAUGUGUCUGAUAUGGUUAAAUCCUGCCUGAAGAGGAGCAUGGGUUUAGGCGUCAGGCAACAAGGCACACUUCUUCUUAGUGCGUGAUCAGCCAUUGUGUAGCAAUUUAGACUGCUCAAAUUUAUCAUAGAGCAUAAUUAGUGCUUUCUAGCUAUAGCUAUAGGUGGACCAUAAUUGGCACCUGCAGAUUUUAGCGUUAAGCAAAGCCAGUCUGCACAAAUCUAAUGUAAUGCAGGGCUGCAGUACCUUUUGGCAUGGCUACGUAUUAGUAUAAAAGCUCCUUGAUUAUAUUCAUGCAGAUGAAGUUUUCCUCUACACUGAAAUCAGGUGCUUGGUAUGAUGGUAUCUUAGACCAUCUUACACUGAAGGCACUGAAGGCCUGAACCGGGUGAGGUUAGCUAUGGAUGGAAACAUCAAAGGUUGGCUCUGCAGGCUUAAGAGGCUGCUUACUCUCUUACUCUUAGAUGUUAAUAUACACAUCAAACUAAUCUCAAUGAAAAACAACCCCAAAAAAUGCAUGAAAUCAGGUGAUCCAGUGGGCAUAUAUUGUGAAAACUGCACACAGUAGCAUAUGUAGAACUGGACUGACGUUCAGGAGUGAAAAACUGGGGCAUCGCAACAACAAGUACAUGCUAGCUCGUAUUUUCCUGUAUUUUUAAACAAAACCCCAGACAUCUUGAACAGAUAGGUGAGGCUGACCAAGGAAGGUUUUCUGUACGUUAUAAUUACUGGUACAAUAAUAUGCACUACCUGCAGGUAACCUGUAGUAACAUGUUACAAAUUGUUAUAUAUCAUGACACUUCAGCGACUACUCUGGCAUGAUCUAACUUAGUAUCUGAUAUCUUUGCUUGGAUCCAAUAUUGUAGUAUCUCAUUGCAUGUGUGUGACUGUGUGUGUGUGUGCACAUGUGCUAUCUUACACUGAAGGCCUGAACCGAGUGAGGUUAAUACCAAUAAGCCUAUAGUUCCAUAGCUAUGGAUGGAAACAUCAAAGGUUGGCUCUGCAGGCUUAAGAGGCUGCUU
Molecule: long non-coding RNA, 3972 nt
Organism: Branchiostoma floridae (Florida lancelet)
Lineage: Eukaryota; Metazoa; Chordata; Leptocardii; Amphioxiformes; Branchiostomatidae
Exons: 3
Source: RefSeq, a predicted model, not a curated record